This 127-nucleotide small RNA is filed under the name Blautia wexlerae. Its description in RNAcentral is "Ribosomal protein L10 leader". It matches the Rfam family "Ribosomal protein L10 leader", at positions 17 to 134 of the family's 138-position model. Rfam says of the family: This family is a putative r-protein leader autoregulatory structure found in B. subtilis and other low-GC Gram-positive bacteria. It is located in the 5' untranslated regions of mRNAs encoding ribosomal proteins L10 and L12 (rplJ-rplL). Lineage: Bacteria; Bacillati; Bacillota; Clostridia; Lachnospirales; Lachnospiraceae. The record is from RNAcentral.
ACGCUGCCGAAGACAGUAGGUGCCGCAAGGCAUAAGUUGUAAACGCCUACCGAGGACUAAGUAUUCUUUAUAUUUUUAUGUAAGAUUACGCAAGCCCUACUGCCAGACAGUAAGGCUUUUUAUUUAC